Oncorhynchus masou masou (cherry salmon) is the source of this 584-nucleotide long non-coding RNA. RefSeq lists it as uncharacterized. The transcript has 2 exons. The record is from RefSeq and is a predicted model, not a curated record. Lineage: Eukaryota; Metazoa; Chordata; Actinopteri; Salmoniformes; Salmonidae.
GGUGUGGUUUUGAAACUUCUGUGAAUGAUGUGUAUGCCUUUGACUCAGUCCUUAACUUAAGGAGGGGAGGAGGAGCGUAUUAGUUGGAGCACAGUUUGAGCUUGGGGUUGCAUUGGAGCUAAGGAGCAACUUGUAUGAUCUGCUGUAUUCUCUGUUUAAAAGCAAUGGCUUUAGGAUCAUCACACUCAGGGCAUAUAAAGACAAUGGGGCUUUAAAUCAAUCCCAAGUGAAAGCUGGCAGUACUUUUGUUAAUGAUCUCAGAGUUUUAGAAGACUUCCAACAUACACAGCAUCCUAAAGGUGAGUAUAUUUCAACGUGUAGUGAGCUGGACAAUAACUUUUAAACGUUGAUGUGGUUGAGCCGUAAUGACGUGCUAGGUAGUAUCUAAUAUAAGUACUUCCACUGCGUGGUAGUGAGUAGCUAUUGCAUGUAAGGUCAUUUAAAUGUAUGUAGUGCAGUGAGGACCACAAUGGAAACAAGUCUUUUGACUUUUUGUGUAUAUAAUCCUCUGAAAUGUUGGUACAUGUAUUUGCGCCUGGUGUGGCUUCUAAGUAUUUUUAAAUAAAAACAUCAAGUGACACACA